This 405-nucleotide ribosomal RNA is filed under the name uncultured bacterium. RNAcentral describes it as "bacterial SSU rRNA". It matches the Rfam family "Bacterial small subunit ribosomal RNA", at positions 355 to 775 of the family's 1533-position model. The record is from RNAcentral.
UUGGGAAUCUUGCACAAUGGGGGAAACCCUGAUGCAGCGACGCCGCGUGAAGGAUGAAGGAUCUAGGUCUGUAAACUUCUUUUAUUGGGAAAGACUUAGGACGGUACCCAAUGAAUAAGGACCGGCUAACUACGUGCCAGCAGCCGCGGUAAGACGUAGGGUCCAAGCGUUGUCCGGAUUUACUGGGCGUAAAGAGCGCGUAGGCGGUCUGUUAAGUGUAGAGUGAAAUCUCCAGGGCUCAACCCGGAAACUGCUCUGCAUACUGGCAGACUUGAGGAAUGCAGAGGUUUGUGGAAUUCCUGGUGUAGCGGUGAAAUGCGUUGAUAUCAGGAGGAACACCCAUGGCGAAGGCAGCAAACUGGGCAUUAUCUGACGCUGAGGCGCGAAAGCGUGGGUAGCAAACAG